GGGGAAUUUUGGACAAUGGGGGCAACCCUGAUCCAGCCAUGCCGCGUGAGUGAAGAAGGCCUUCGGGUUGUAAAGCUCUUUCGGACGGAAAGAAAUCGCUGCCUCUAACAUAGGCGGUGGAUGACGGUACCGUAAGAAGAAGCACCGGCUAACUACGUGCCAGCAGCCGCGGUAAUACGUAGGGUGCGAGCGUUAAUCGGAAUUACUGGGCGUAAAGCGUGCGCAGGCGGUUUGGUAAGACAGGUGUGAAAUCCCCGGGCUUAACCUCAGAACUGCCCUUGAUACUGGCGAUCUCGAGUUCGAGAGAGGUUGGUGGAACUCCGAGUGUAGAGGUGAAAUUCGUAGAUAUUCGGAAGAACACCAGUGGCGAAGGCGGCCAACUGGCUCGAUACUGACGCUGAGGUGCGAAAGCGUGGGGAGCAAACA
RNAcentral lists this ribosomal RNA (426 nucleotides) under uncultured Pseudomonadota bacterium. RNAcentral's name for it is "bacterial SSU rRNA". It matches the Rfam family "Bacterial small subunit ribosomal RNA", at positions 356 to 774 of the family's 1533-position model. The record is from RNAcentral. Lineage: Bacteria; Pseudomonadati; Pseudomonadota.